This 858-nucleotide ribosomal RNA is filed under the name Psychrobacter sp. RKEM 927. RNAcentral describes it as "bacterial SSU rRNA". It matches the Rfam family "Bacterial small subunit ribosomal RNA", at positions 22 to 873 of the family's 1533-position model. Lineage: Bacteria; Pseudomonadati; Pseudomonadota; Gammaproteobacteria; Moraxellales; Moraxellaceae. The record is from RNAcentral.
GCUCAGAUUGAACGCUGGCGGCAGGCUUAACACAUGCAAGUCGAGCGGAAACGAUGGUAGCUUGCUACCAGGCGUCGAGCGGCGGACGGGUGAGUAAUACUUAGGAAUCUACCUAGUAGUGGGGGAUAGCACGGGGAAACUCGUAUUAAUACCGCAUACGACCUACGGGAGAAAGGGGGCAGUUUACUGCUCUCGCUAUUAGAUGAGCCUAAGUCGGAUUAGCUAGAUGGUGGGGUAAAGGCCUACCAUGGCGACGAUCUGUAGCUGGUCUGAGAGGAUGAUCAGCCACACCGGGACUGAGACACGGCCCGGACUCCUACGGGAGGCAGCAGUGGGGAAUAUUGGACAAUGGGGGAAACCCUGAUCCAGCCAUGCCGCGUGUGUGAAGAAGGCCUUUUGGUUGUAAAGCACUUUAAGCAGUGAAGAAGACUCUUCGGUUAAUACCCGGAGACGAUGACAUUAGCUGCAGAAUAAGCACCGGCUAACUCUGUGCCAGCAGCCGCGGUAAUACAGAGGGUGCAAGCGUUAAUCGGAAUUACUGGGCGUAAAGCGAGCGUAGGUGGCUUGAUAAGUCAGAUGUGAAAUCCCCGGGCUUAACCUGGGAACUGCAUCUGAAACUGUUAGGCUAGAGUAGGUGAGAGGGAAGUAGAAUUUCAGGUGUAGCGGUGAAAUGCGUAGAGAUCUGAAGGAAUACCGAUGGCGAAGGCAGCUUCCUGGCAUCAUACUGACACUGAGGCUCGAAAGCGUGGGUAGCAAACAGGAUUAGAUACCCUGGUAGUCCACGCCGUAAACGAUGUCUACUAGUCGUUGGGUCCCUUGAGGACUUAGUGACGCAGCUAACGCAAUAAGUAGACCGCC